RNAcentral lists this ribosomal RNA (484 nucleotides) under uncultured bacterium. RNAcentral describes it as "partial 16S ribosomal RNA". It matches the Rfam family "Bacterial small subunit ribosomal RNA", at positions 30 to 507 of the family's 1533-position model. The record is from RNAcentral.
AUUGAACGCUGGCGGCAGGCCUAACACAUGCAAGUCGAGCGGAUGAAGGGAGCUUGCUCCUGGAUUCAGCGGCGGACGGGUGAGUAAUGCCUAGGAAUCUGCCUGGUAGUGGGGGAUAACGUCCGGAAACGGGCGCUAAUACCGCAUACGUCCUGAGGGAGAAAGUGGGGGAUCUUCGGACCUCACGCUAUCAGAUGAGCCUAGGUCGGAUUAGCUAGUUGGUGGGGUAAAGGCCUACCAAGGCGACGAUCCGUAACUGGUCUGAGAGGAUGAUCAGUCACACUGGAACUGAGACACGGUCCAGACUCCUACGGGAGGCAGCAGUGGGGAAUACUGGACAAUGGGCGAAAGCCUGAUCCAGCCAUGCCGCGUGUGUGAAGAAGGUCUUCGGAUUGUAAAGCACUUUUAGUUGGGAGGAAGGGCAGUAAGUUAAUACCUUGCUGUUUUGACGGUACCAACAGAAUAAGCACCGGCUAACUUCGUG